UUCACUGCAAGUGAAGCAAUAGUUAGUACACGUUGUGUUUUCCCUUUUAAGUCUGUCCCUUGCAGAAUGCAUUUGCGUGCUGUGAGACCCCAGAAAUAAACUCAUUCCCAUUUUUGGCCCUCAGGUUUUAUGAGAAAUGCAAAUUGAAGCUAUUAUGUAUGAAUUAUUGCUUACCCGGAAGACCACCCGAAUGCUCCCCUUCCAGAAUGCUGUAAUGACUGUUACUGUACCUAAAAAGAGUGACAAACGCAAAUUCUAAUGGCAUGUUUGUUUGUAAGUCUUGGAAAUUCUGCAAAAUGGUUAUGCUUGUUUUGAAACAUUUAUAAGAGAAGAGAAGUUGUGCUACUCUUUUUAUGGUUA
Molecule: unclassified non-coding RNA, 360 nt
Filed under: Hevea brasiliensis (rubber tree)
Lineage: Eukaryota; Viridiplantae; Streptophyta; Magnoliopsida; Malpighiales; Euphorbiaceae
Source: RNAcentral